AUUGAACGCUGGCGGCAGGCCUAACACAUGCAAGUCGAACGGUAACAGGAAGAAGCUUGCUUCUUUGCUGACGAGUGGCGGACGGGUGAGUAAUGUCUGGGAAACUGCCUGAUGGAGGGGGAUAACUACUGGAAACGGUAGCUAAUACCGCAUAACGUCUCAAGACCAAAGAGGGGGACCUUCGGGCCUCUUGCCAUCGGAUGUGCCCAGAUGGGAUUAGCUAGUAGGUGGGGUAACGGCUCACCUAGGCGACGAUCCCUAGCUGGUCUGAGAGGAUGACCAGCCACACUGGAACUGAGACACGGUCCAGACUCCUACGGGAGGCAGCAGUGGGGAAUAUUGCACAAUGGGCGCAAGCCUGAUGCAGCCAUGCCGCGUGUAUGAAGAAGGCCUUCGGGUUGUAAAGUACUUUCAGCGGGGAGGAAGGGAGUAAAGUUAAUACCUUUACUCAUUGACGUUACCCGCAGAAGAAGCACCGGCUAACUCCGUG
This 490-nucleotide ribosomal RNA is filed under the name uncultured bacterium. RNAcentral's name for it is "partial 16S ribosomal RNA". It matches the Rfam family "Bacterial small subunit ribosomal RNA", at positions 30 to 507 of the family's 1533-position model. The record is from RNAcentral.